UGCGGGAUGGUGUAGCGGUAGCACAGGUGACUCUGGAUCAUCUACGCCCAGGUUCGAUCCCUGGUCCCGCAG
This 72-nucleotide transfer RNA is filed under the name Syntrophaceticus schinkii. It matches the Rfam family "tRNA". From Rfam's summary of the family: Transfer RNA (tRNA) molecules are approximately 80 nucleotides in length. Their secondary structure includes four short double-helical elements and three loops (D, anti-codon, and T loops). The record is from Rfam by way of RNAcentral. Lineage: Bacteria; Bacillati; Bacillota; Clostridia; Thermoanaerobacterales; Thermoanaerobacterales Family III. Incertae Sedis.